AUUCUUGUGCUGUGCCUUUCAGUUGAACAGAAGAGGCUCCAUGUCUUACCUGGCAGCAGUCGAGGAAGAGGUGGAAGAAAGUUCCGUGAAGAGCGAAAAUGGAGAUGAGAAGGCAGAGCCAUCUCCUCAGUCUUGGUCUUCACUUUGGAAGCAUGACAAGGACAUGGAGGAAGACAGAGCUUCCUCAUCCUCUGGAACAAUUGUUCAGGAAGCAUAUGGGAAAAUAAGCACCUCUGAUAAUUCCAUGGCACAAAUCCUCACACCAGACUCACUAAACACUGAGCAAGGCCCAGAAUGUUCCCUAAGGCCCAACCAAACAGAAGAGGGCACCACACCUCCUAUUGAGGCUGACACUCUGGACUCUUCUGACGCGCAAGGAGGUUUGGAGCCCAGGGUGGAGAAAACUAGGCCGGAGCCCGCAGAAGUCCUGCAUGCCUGCAAGACCCAGGUGGCCGAGCUGGAGCUGUGGCUGCAACAAGCCAACGUGGCAGUUGAGCCGGAAACAUUAAACUCAGACAUGCAGCAGGUGCUGGAACAGCAGCUGGUAGGGUGCCAGG
This 557-nucleotide small RNA is filed under the name Pan troglodytes (chimpanzee). RNAcentral describes it as "retained intron". Lineage: Eukaryota; Metazoa; Chordata; Mammalia; Primates; Hominidae. The record is from RNAcentral.